This 609-nucleotide ribosomal RNA is filed under the name Enterobacteriaceae bacterium OS50. Its description in RNAcentral is "bacterial SSU rRNA". It matches the Rfam family "Bacterial small subunit ribosomal RNA", at positions 60 to 658 of the family's 1533-position model. The record is from RNAcentral. Lineage: Bacteria; Pseudomonadati; Pseudomonadota; Gammaproteobacteria; Enterobacterales; Enterobacteriaceae.
AGUCGAACGGUAACAGGAAGCAGCUUGCUGCUUCGCUGACGAGUGGCGGACGGGUGAGUAAUGUCUGGGAAACUGCCUGAUGGAGGGGGAUAACUACUGGAAACGGUAGCUAAUACCGCAUAACGUCGCAAGACCAAAGAGGGGGACCUUCGGGCCUCUUGCCAUCGGAUGUGCCCAGAUGGGAUUAGCUUGUUGGUGGGGUAACGGCUCACCAAGGCGACGAUCCCUAGCUGGUCUGAGAGGAUGACCAGCCACACUGGAACUGAGACACGGUCCAUACUCCUACGGGAGGCAGCAGUGGGGAAUAUUGCACAAUGGGCGCAAGCCUGAUGCAGCCAUGCCGCGUGUAUGAAGAAGGCCUUCGGGUUGUAAAGUACUUUCAGCGGGGAGGAAGGGAGUAAAGUUAAUACCUUUGCUCAUUGACGUUACCCGCAGAAGAAGCACCGGCUAACUCCGUGCCAGCAGCCGCGGUAAUACGGAGGGUGCAAGCGUUAAUCGGAAUUACUGGGCGUAAAGCGCACGCAGGCGGUUUGUUAAGUCAGAUGUGAAAUCCCCGGGCUCAACCUGGGAACUGCAUCUGAUACUGGCAAGCUUGAGUCUCGUAGAGGG